This 427-nucleotide ribosomal RNA is filed under the name uncultured Oscillospiraceae bacterium. RNAcentral's name for it is "bacterial SSU rRNA". It matches the Rfam family "Bacterial small subunit ribosomal RNA", at positions 354 to 796 of the family's 1533-position model. The record is from RNAcentral. Lineage: Bacteria; Bacillati; Bacillota; Clostridia; Eubacteriales; Oscillospiraceae.
GUGGGGAAUAUUGGGCAAUGGGCGCAAGCCUGACCCAGCAACGCCGCGUGAAGGAAGAAGGCUUUCGGGUUGUAAACUUCUUUUAAGAGGGAAGAGCAGAAGACGGUACCUCUUGAAUAAGCCACGGCUAACUACGUGCCAGCAGCCGCGGUAAUACGUAGGUGGCAAGCGUUGUCCGGAUUUACUGGGUGUAAAGGGCGUGCAGCCGGGAAGACAAGUCAGAUGUGAAAUCCCGCGGCUCAACCGCGGAACUGCAUUUGAAACUGUUUUUCUUGAGUACCGGAGAGGUCAUCGGAAUUCCUUGUGUAGCGGUGAAAUGCGUAGAUAUAAGGAAGAACACCAGUGGCGAAGGCGGAUGACUGGACGGCAACUGACGGUGAGGCGCGAAAGCGUGGGGAGCAAACAGGAUUAGAUACCCUUGUAGUCC